ACGGAAGGCAGCAGUAGGGAAUCUUCGGCAAUGGGGGCAACCCUGACCGAGCAACGCCGCGUGAGUGAAGAAGGUUUUCGGAUCGUAAAGCUCUGUUGUAAGAGAAGAACGUGUGUGAGAGUGGAAAGUUCACACAGUGACGGUAACUUACCAGAAGGGGACGGCUAACUCCGUGCCAGCAGCCGCGGUAAUACGUAGGUCCCGAGCGUUGUCCGGAUUUAUUGGGCGUAAAGCGAGCGUAGGCGGUUUAAUAAAUCAGAAGUUAAAGGCAGGGGCUGAACCAUUGUUCGCUGUUGAAACUGUUAGACUUGAGUGCAGAAGGGGAGAGUGGAAUUCGAUGUGUAGCGGUGAAAUGCUUAGAUAUAUGGAGGAACACCGGUUGCGAAAGCGGCUCUCUGGACUGUAACUGACGCUGAGGCUCGAAAGCGUGGGGAGCAAACAGGAUUAGAUACCCUGGUA
This 459-nucleotide ribosomal RNA is filed under the name uncultured Streptococcus sp. RNAcentral describes it as "bacterial SSU rRNA". It matches the Rfam family "Bacterial small subunit ribosomal RNA", at positions 341 to 792 of the family's 1533-position model. The record is from RNAcentral. Lineage: Bacteria; Bacillati; Bacillota; Bacilli; Lactobacillales; Streptococcaceae.